UGGGGAAUUUUGGACAAUGGGCGAAAGCCUGAUCCAGCAAUGCCGCGUGUGUGAAGAAGGCCUUCGGGUUGUAAAGCACUUUUGUCCGGAAAGAAAUCCUUGGCUCUAAUACAGUCGGGGGAUGACGGUACCGGAAGAAUAAGCACCGGCUAACUACGUGCCAGCAGCCGCGGUAAUACGUAGGGUGCAAGCGUUAAUCGGAAUUACUGGGCGUAAAGCGUGCGCAGGCGGUUUGCUAAGACCGAUGUGAAAUCCCCGGGCUCAACCUGGGAACUGCAUUGGUGACUGGCAGGCUAGAGUAUGGCAGAGGGGGGUAGAAUUCCACGUGUAGCAGUGAAAUGCGUAGAGAUGUGGAGGAAUACCGAUGGCGAAGGCAGCCCCCUGGGCCAAUACUGACGCUCAUGCACGAAAGCGUGGGGAGCAAACAGGAUUAGAUACCCUGGUAGUCCACGCCCUAAACGAUGUCAACUAGUUGUUGGGGAUUCAUUUCCUUAGUAACGUAGCUAACGCGUGAAGUUGACCGCCUGGGGAGUACGGUCGCAAGAUUAAAACUCAAAUGGAAUUGACGGGGUCAUAGCGGUUUCCU
This 586-nucleotide ribosomal RNA is filed under the name uncultured bacterium. RNAcentral describes it as "partial 16S ribosomal RNA". It matches the Rfam family "Bacterial small subunit ribosomal RNA", at positions 355 to 938 of the family's 1533-position model. The record is from RNAcentral.